GAUGAACAGACUCAGAUUGUGAUAGAUGC
RNAcentral lists this non-coding RNA (29 nucleotides) under Cricetulus griseus (Chinese hamster). The record is from RNAcentral. Lineage: Eukaryota; Metazoa; Chordata; Mammalia; Rodentia; Cricetidae.